Molecule: ribosomal RNA, 490 nt
Filed under: uncultured bacterium
Lineage: Bacteria
Description: bacterial SSU rRNA
Rfam family: Bacterial small subunit ribosomal RNA
Source: RNAcentral
GAUCCUGGCUCAGGAUGAACGCUGGCGGCGUGCCUAAUACAUGCAAGUCGAACGAGAACCGGAGCUUGCUCCGAUUCGAGUGGCGAACGGGUGAGUAACACGUGGGCAACCUGCCCUAAAGUUCGGGACAACGGACCGAAAGGUCCGCUAAUACCGGAUAAUGUCUUAGAGUCGCAUGACUUUAGGAAGAAAGCCGAAAGGCGCUUAUGGAUGGGCUCGCGUCCCAUCAGCUAGUUGGUAAGGUAACGGCUUACCAAGGCGACGACGGGUAGCCGGUCUGAGAGGAUGGUCGGCCACACUGGGACUGAGAUACGGCCCAGACUCCUACGGGAGGCAGCAGUUGGGAAUAUUGGGCAAUGGGCCGAAAGCCUGGCCCAGCGACGCCGCGUGAGGGAAGAAGGCCUUCGGGUCGUAAACCUCUGUCAUCGGGGACGAAGAAAGUGACGGUACCCGAGGAGGAAGCCCCUGCUAACUACGUGCCAGCCGCAGC